CACGCCCGUCACAUCACGAAAGUGGGCUGUACUAGAAGCCGGUGAGCUAACCGCAAGGAAGCAGCCGUCCAAGGUAUAACUCAUGAUUGGGGUG
Molecule: ribosomal RNA, 94 nt
Filed under: uncultured bacterium
Lineage: Bacteria
Description: partial 16S ribosomal RNA
Rfam family: Bacterial small subunit ribosomal RNA
Source: RNAcentral